GCACGAGACCAGGGUGCACCGUGGCACGCUGUGCCCCACGUUCCACGAGACCUGCUGCUUCCACGUGCGUCUGGGCUGGGGUGGGGGAGGCGCGGGGGGCCGGGGCCGGGGCGAGGGGGCCCGCUCACUCGCUCUCCUGCAGGUGCCGCAGCGCGAGCUGGCUCGGACCGCCCUGCGGGUGCAGGUGCUAAGCUUCAGGCGGUUCUCUGCCCACGAGCCGCUGGCUGAGCUCAGCCUGCCGCUGGGCACCGUGGACCCGCAGCACGUCCUAGAGCAGUGGUACCAGCUGGGCCCUCCGGGCACCACCGAGGUGAGCCCAGGGACUGCCGGACUCCGGCCUGGCCCUGCCCGGGGUGCCCCGGGGGUCGGGGGGGGGGCGGUGGAGACCGAGGCCCCCCCAUCUCGCUGCCCGCAGCCCGAGCCCUCGGGUGAGCUGUGCCUCUCGCUCCGGUACGUGCCUGGCUCGGGCCGGCUGACCGUCGUCGUGCUGGAGGCCCGAGGCCUGAGCCCGGGACUGGCAGGUGAGAGCCCUCCCUGCCCCUUCCACGUGGAGAGAGGGGGAGCCCUGUGCUUGGCCCUGGGACCCGGGAGGCCUUCUGACCCCUUCUGCCUGCCCAGACCCCUACGUGAAGGUCCAGCUCAUGCUGAACCAGAGGAAGUGGAAGAAGAGAAAGACCUCGGCCCGGAAGGGCACGGCCGCCCCCUACUUCAACGAGGCCUUCACCUUCCUCGUGCCUUUCAGCCAGGUCCAGGUGGGCUGCCUGGAGAAAGGGGUGGGCGGGGCGGGCCCGGGCGGGCCCACCCUUGGGGCCAAGCUGACCCCUGUCUUUCUCUCCCUCCCUGCCCUUCUGCCCGCCUCUGCCCAGAGCGUGGAUCUGGUGCUGGCCGUCUGGGCCCGGGGCCCGCACUUCCGGGCCGAGCCCGUGGGCAAGGUGCUGCUGGGCGCGCG
Molecule: long non-coding RNA, 949 nt
Filed under: Lynx pardinus (Iberian lynx)
Lineage: Eukaryota; Metazoa; Chordata; Mammalia; Carnivora; Felidae
Source: RNAcentral